AUACGGGGGGAGCAAGCGUUGUCCGGAAUCACUGGGCGUAAAGCGAGUGUAGGUUGUCAGGUAAGUAGGAUGUGAAAGCCCGGGGCUCAACCCCGGAAUUGCAUUCUAAACUGCCUGGCUAGAGUCCCGGAGAGGGAGGUGGAAUUCCGAGUGUAGAGGUGAAAUUCGUAGAUAUUCGGAGGAACACCAGAGGCGAAGGCGACCUCCUGGACGGUGACUGACACUGAGACUCGAAAGCGUGGGGAGCAAACAGGAUUAGAAACCCUAGUAGUCC
This 274-nucleotide ribosomal RNA is filed under the name uncultured bacterium. RNAcentral describes it as "partial 16S ribosomal RNA". It matches the Rfam family "Bacterial small subunit ribosomal RNA", at positions 523 to 796 of the family's 1533-position model. The record is from RNAcentral.